CUACGCACAAUCUAAUUGCCUACCUUGUCUGAAUUGUCUCUGUUUCACCUGGGGCCUGAUACAUCUGAGGCUAGAGGUGGCGCUGAAGAGCUCACAUUUCCUGUUCUACCAAAAUUUGCUGGAGUUGUUACAACAAAGUUAUGCUCUAUGUUGAGGUCUGCAGUCAUGACACCUUCCAAUACUUUUACCACCUCAGACAUUUUAGGCCUUUUUUUGCAAUCAAUCUGCAAGCACCACAUUGCAAGCAUCAUCAUCUGAAUGCAUCUUGCUUGUGUGCUUGCAUGUCGUUGCUGUUAUUGUCAAUCAAAUCUACCAACUGAUCAUUCUUUACCUUUUCCUCCAAUAGGCUGAUGAGAUGGAUGCUCUCUUCUGACCGGGAAGUGUCGAGGUUCUUUCUUCCACUGAUGAUUUCCAUGACCACGACGCCGAAGCUGUAGAUAUCCGCCUUUUCUGUGAUCUGUGAUGUCAACCAUUCAGGAGCUAAAUAUCCAGGCGUGCCUCUCAUUCCGGUAACCACUUGGCUCAUAUCCCUGUCUAUGAGUUUGCAUAGUCCAAAAUCAGAAAGUUUAGCAUUAAAGUCAUCAUCUAAGAGGAUGUUUUGUGGUUUGACAUCCAAAUGAGCAAUUCGUUUUGUGCACUCCUCGUGAAGAUAAGAGAGGCCCUUAGCUAUAUGAGUUAUAAUCUUGCACCGCGUGCUCCAAUCCAGAGGAGAAGCAUCAUUGUCAUGUCGGCAAUAGAUCCAUCUGUCCAAGGAUCCUUUGGGCAUGUACUCAUAUACCAAGAGCCUGUGGGAUUUCUCUGCACAGAAACCAAUCAAUCUCACCAGAUUAAUAUGAUGAAUGCUGCCAAUUGUCUGAACUUCUGCCGAAAAUUCUCUUUUGCCCUGACCAGUUCGAUCCAAACGUUUUACUGCAAUCCUUUCAUCAGCAAAUUGACCCUUGAAAACAGACCCAAAUCCUCCUUCCCCGAGCUUGUCUUUGAACUGCUCGGUUGCUGCUCUUAGCUGUUGAAAUGUGAACCUCAUUGGUGUUCCUUGUAGCUCCCCAAACUCUUCCUCUUCUUCCAUCUCAUGUUGUUGUUGUGUUCUUCGUUUACAUAUAAAGAAGGCGACGAGGAACAAGAUGGUGAGAAAAAUGAAGCCGCCUACAGGAGGUAGAAUUGCAACAACUCUUCUUCCAGAGGGGGAUUUCGGUUUCAUGCUUGUUGGCCCAAUAGUUGUAGGUAGAGUACUUGGGGUCGGAGGUGUUGCCUUGGCUGGGGGUGCAGGCAGGGGACUUUCAGCUGUAGGUGAGAGUGUUUGAUUAAUCAGGGGACAGAAGAUGACCUGGUACUUUGUGCCCGACGGGCAAGAGUAAGUGGAUGUAUCAUCAGGCUUGCUGUAGGCAUCUGGGCACAUCUGCUUAACGAAGGCCGAGUAACUUGUGUUGCAACGGCUUGCCGUGCUCCCAGUACAUGCAUUGCUACACCCUCCCGGAGCCUCCAGCUCUCUUGGGCACUGCGAUGUGAUGUUGGCUGCACAACGCGGCCCCUUGCUGCACCCUGACCUUCCCUGAAUCGGCACCGGCAGGAAGUCCAUGGGCACGUUGAAGCCAUCAAUGAGCGAGAUGUCGAAGAAAUCAUCAACACUUUGGCCUUGGCCAAGACUGAACUCGCCCAGCGUGCUUGGCGAUCGACCACUGGCCGUACAUGCGAGCAAGCCGCUGCAGUCACCAGUUUGGCAUGACCCGCCUUCGUCAAGGAGUGAGCAGCCUGUGCGCGGCCAGAUGCGCCCUGUUGAGGUACCAGCGGGCAUGUUCAGCGCCCAUGUCUCCCCCGGAUCGAGCUUCACGCCACCUCCCGGCAGAGCGGCUGGCCACACGGUGUAGGAGCAUUGGUUGAUGAUUUUGAAUGUGGUGGCCUCGCUGGUGGCUGCGAGUAGGAGUACGAGGAGGAGAGGGAGGAGGUGGAGACACGAAGAGGUACUCGCCACUGCCAUUUUUGGUACGAUUUUUUUGCUUGCACGCGUUAACUUGAAACACAGUCUGAGUUGGAAACUUGCAAUAGGGUUCCUGUGAUGGCUAACAGGGUGGAAGAGUGGUAGGGGAUUGUAGAUAGGGACUGCAUCUGUGUGUUGAUUCAUUCAACGGUCAGCAAAAAAACAGCCUAACAUGCCUAUAGCCAUGACUGUUUGAUAGGAACAGACUUGCUUGUUUGCUUGUUUAGUCCCUUUUGAAUUGUAGCUGUACGUCUUCCAAAGAAAAAGAAUGGGAAUCUUUGCAUCUGCAUAACGUGUUGUUUGAUCAAUUUUUCUGCCUAACAAAUUCUUUAAGCUGAUGUAGACCUAAACCCUAAACCCUAACUGCGCACUUUUCUGCCUUUAAGGAAAUUGUUAGGUUGCACAUCUUAAUUUGUUCAUUCCUAAUCUGCUGUUAUGAUUUGUCACGUCAUUCCUGAUCUGGAAUCUGGAGUCACCAACAGUUUAGAGGUAAUCUGGUGUUUGGGGGCAAAGCUGAAGCUGACAGCGGUUGGCAGCUGCCUCGAAGCAGCUGGAGGCCUCCUUCACCCGUCGACGACUGGCCUAGCUAUCAUACGCCGUCAACCACAUGGAACCAUGCAUGCAUGUCUCACUCAUCAUAACUGUUAGACCGGCAUAUUAGGGGCUUAGUCCAGUGGGCUGUGACCCAAGUUAUUUUAUAGUUAUUAGGGGUUUAGCCCAAUUAUCUUAUCGUUAUUAGGGUCGUUUGCUUAGGUGUCAAGUAAACCUCCUUAUAUAAGGAGAGGAGAUGUAUCAAUCUAAUUAAGUAAGAAGUAAUCAGUAUUUGCUCAGCUUCCCUUAGGGAGCCGGGAGACCUAACCCUAGCUGCCUCUUGCACCGCCGCCGUCUCUUCUCCACCACGCAAGGACGGCGCCCAGCCGCCGGCCGCCGCGCCCUCGACCUCGUCUUCCUCCAUCUUUCUCCUACAAUCUCCGCCCUAGAACCGGCAGAACCCUAGCUCCUAACACUUUGGUAUCAGGUAGCUCAGUUUCGAUCAUGUCUUCGCCGCCGCCCAUCCCGUCGCUUCCGCUGCCGACCGUCACCACCGCGCCGCUGCUCUCCCCGUCCGCGCCGCUGGUCGCAUCCUCCGGUGCCACCACCACCCAGAUGACGAUGCCCUCCACCGCACCACCGGCCGCCGUCUACUCCCCGGCGGAGAUCACCGGGGUCCUCAACGAUCUCGUCACCGCCGUCCAGGGGAUACGGCUAUACCUAGCCGGCCCCUACGGGCCGCCGGCCGCCGCGACCGGCCCAGCCGCCCUGCCAUGGUAUUCGGCACCCGCGGCGCCGACCGGGCCUCUACACCACCACUGGCCGGUUUAGCCGCCGCCCGCCGCCGCGCCCCAAUGGCCGCAGUGGCCGGCGCCGGCCCUCGCCGCGUCACCCACGCUACCCGGGUCCUCGCCGCCACCGCCCUGGCAGCCCUGGUAGCCGUCGGACCCCAGGGCCACCGCGACGCUGGUUGGGCCACUACAGCCCUCGCUGCAGCUACAACCAGCCCCCGCCACCGCCCCGAUCUGGCCACAAUGGUUGGCCCCGGCCAUCGCCGCGCCCGCCGCCUCCGCCGUUUCCAGGCAGCAGCAGCUGCCACUGCCGGCGCCUCCGCCGCCCAGCACCGGGCUGACUACAACCGCGCCGGCGGGCGUGCCGAUUCAGCAAGUGCGGUACCCGCCCUCGCCGUCCCAGCUUCCGGCCUGGUUGGCCGGGACGUCACCGCCGCCAGUCUACACCGUGGCCGCGGACCAGCAGGCGCCCUCCCUGCCGUAUGACGGGCCCUCCGGCUCCACAGGUUUCCACACUGGCUUCGACGGGUCAUCGCUUUCCUGCGGACCACCUGUGCACAACGGACCAACACCAUCUUCUUCGCUGCUCCAUAUCGCCGAGCCAUACACUCACGCGGUCAUGCUCAGACGCAGGCAAGGCUUUUGCAUCUUUCAACAAAAGAAAAGAAAAAGCUUCGGACCCGGCCUGUGAUGUAUGAACUCUUAAUGUGGCUGUCAUUAAGAGCCUAUAGAAUAAAUUAAGUUCUUUUUUUGUGAUGUAUGAACUCUUAAUUUAUAUACUAACGAAUAAAUUAAGUUCUGCUGUAGAGCAAGAAGGUUUGUAAUGUUAAAACAUUUUGUAUGUAAAAUUAACUCAAGAGAAGCGGCUUUAGAUUGUACUAAUUUAGAAAGAUUCAACAUACAAAUCUUUUACUCAUUUCACUUGGCACGUGAUACAAUGGACAAAUCUUUCACUCCAGAUAAGCGGUUCAUAUUUUCAUUGUCCUAUUAUUCUAUUUUUAGUUUUAAAUUCAUGAAUAUUUUUAAAAACUUGUGAACAUUUUGAAUUAAUUAAAAUAAUUUGAAUUUAUGAAGUUUUAUAAGUAGAAAAAUAUUUUUAACUCGUGGACAUUUUUAAAUUUGAAUAAACUGACCGAAAUAAAAAAACCAGCUAGAAAAAUCGCUGAAAUAGAAACAGAGCUUUUUUAGUGCUUUUUUAGGCAUAUUUUUUUGAGGUGUUUAUGAGGGAUAAAUAGAAAGAGAGCUUUUUUAUCAGGGGUUGCGACAUUCCGUGGGCUGCAUAGAUCGGGCCAUAUACGCCCGCAUGAGGCAGGGGCCUGCGCUCAAGAAAAGAAUAACUUUUGUCUCAAAAAGAAUUAACCUUUCUCCUCCAGCCAUUGCCGGCGGCGCCCCCAUCCGCGGCGAAGUCGCCGGUGAAGUUGGUCAUCUGGCCGCAGGGCAUUUCUGUCGCCAUAUCUGGCGCCCAGUACCACGUAUUUCUACCGCGCUCCAUCAGCAGCCGCGCCGCCCCUAAUCGCCGGCCUCCAGCGAGGGGAACCGCGUUGCCGUCUUUCGGUUUGAUCCCCCUCAAUCCUCAUCGGUGGAG
This 4882-nucleotide long non-coding RNA is filed under the name Triticum aestivum (bread wheat). Its description in RNAcentral is "long non-coding RNA (TAES_LNC025130)". The record is from RNAcentral. Lineage: Eukaryota; Viridiplantae; Streptophyta; Magnoliopsida; Poales; Poaceae.